This is an RNA transcript of Corticium candelabrum, 955 nucleotides long. RefSeq lists it as uncharacterized. Lineage: Eukaryota; Metazoa; Porifera; Homoscleromorpha; Homosclerophorida; Plakinidae. The transcript is spliced from 4 exons. The record is from RefSeq and is a predicted model, not a curated record.
AAGCAUGCCUAUGCGAGUUACUUGUGACAGAGAAGAUAGAGUCAGUCAGUGCCAAGCUUCAGGACUUGCCGGACUUUCUAAUGUCACGUAACACGUAUGUGGACCAGAUGCUGAAUGGUUGCCACCGGAAAAUGCUUACUGGUUGAAUUUGUCGUUUGUGCAAGCUACUGCUUACGCUGAAGUAGAGCAGAGUGGUUAGACUUGCCGAGGAUUGACAAUCGGGGGAACGACGAGGCAGAGUGAGACUGCGAGUCUGGUGGAAACCAUACAUAUCUUGUUCUGUAAUUAAGAUCAUCUCUAUUCAGUUUGUGCAGAAAGUCAAUUCUCUCCCACCUGUAAAGGUUUAUUGUGAUUAUUCUGUGAUCUCUAGUGGGUGUGCACUUGUGUGGAAACACUCAUAUUUUCAAGUUGGAAAUCCAACUGAUGACAUGCGUACUUUCAGUUCAGUCGAUCGUCCAUGUACUGAUCUGUCUGAUGGUUGGUGUAAUGUGGGUAACAAGGAUAAUGUUGCUGGUAAUGUUCAAUUGACAGUUGCUUAUCAUGAAGGAGAAGUUGUGUAUGCAUAUGGUGGUGAUCGUAAUUCUGAACUGGGAAAGUCAUGGCGUGGAGCAAUACUCAACAAUCCAGUCAAAAUUACAGAUCAUUGCAAUCGAGGAAAUGGUAUUCCUCCAGAGCCAGAUAUUCAUCCAUCUGGAAUACCGGGAUUGUCAUUUGACAAAUUGAGUCCUGGUGUAUACACUGGUGACUGUUAUACAGAUCGCUACAAGAGAAAGAGAGACUGUUGUUGGAAGAAUUGUCAGUUACCUUCAUCUAUCUCAUCCAAAACAAAUCAUGUACAAAUGACAGUUGCUAUAUUUCUUUGUUGACUUUGCCCACAGCACUUUAUGGGCUAUAGUUGCAUGUUGAUCUUGUUUGCAUUGUAUGAAAUGUAACAUCUAGUAUUGUGAACCUUGAG